Arachis duranensis is the source of this 712-nucleotide long non-coding RNA. RefSeq lists it as uncharacterized. The transcript has 2 exons. The record is from RefSeq and is a predicted model, not a curated record. Lineage: Eukaryota; Viridiplantae; Streptophyta; Magnoliopsida; Fabales; Fabaceae.
AGAUUAUUCUAAUGUUUCUGUACAACUCAUUAAUUAUACAAAGACCGGUAAGCAAGUCUAAUGUUUCUGCACAGAAAACUACUUUAAUAGGCAAAGUUAAUAUAAAAUGAUAGGAAAUGUUAGCAAUUUUUUCCCUUGUUAGCACUAUUUAGUUUAUUAAAAGGAAACAAAAUACUAUGAAGCUCGGUAGUGCUGCAGUUAUUAUUCCUAUUAUCUUUAACCUGCAAUAACUGAUUAAAAGAUGCUGCUUUGUUAUCACAACAUUUUGUACUGUCCUGAAUGGAGGAGGAUGAGCUAUUUCAGUAGCUCUUGUCUUGAAUCAAAAUGCUGCCGAGGUAGCUGCGACUUCGGAAACUGCUGCAUUCUCCCAAAAUCCUGCACUUGUUCUUGCUCCAGUUAUCCCAAGAAUAAAAUACUUCAUAGCCAUCUUGAAGCUUUGCAUAUUCGGAAGGCAAAGAAGGAGCACAAUGCUGCUAGUAUAUCAUUUGGAAGUAGUAGUGCAGAUACAUUUGGUGAUGCUGGUCUUCAAACUGUGUUGACUUAUCUCCGAAAUUCAAAAGAAAUUGUAAAUACUUGUCAUGUGUAGCAAAUUUGUUUCGCUUGUAUAUUUGUAUAUUCAUUUUAAGUUCUCUACUUUCACAGUCAGAAACAGAAGUGUCAGCUUUGAUAUUAUUAGUAGUAAAUUCUAAGUGAUAUUAUGGUUAUUUUGAUA